GGGUGCUUGGUCCAGUGGUAAGACGCUCCGCAUUCAGCUAUCGGGUUGGCGUUGGUGGGUCAAGAUGCAACCGCAUCUGGAGUCGACUUUCGGGACCUACCGUGCGGGCUUGCGAGAAACCCACGUUCGAAUCGUGGAGUGCCCA
This 145-nucleotide transfer RNA is filed under the name Parastagonospora nodorum SN15. RNAcentral's name for it is "Phaeosphaeria nodorum SN15 tRNA-SeC for anticodon UCA". The record is from RNAcentral. Lineage: Eukaryota; Fungi; Ascomycota; Dothideomycetes; Pleosporales; Phaeosphaeriaceae.